AUUGAACGCUGGCGGCAGGCCUAACACAUGCAAGUCGAACGCGUGGCGGCCGGGUGAGUAGUGUCUGGGAAACUGCCUGAUGGAGGGGGUUAUCUACUGGAAAUGGUAUCUAAUACCGCAUACCUUCAUAUGUGCCCUGAUGGGAUUAGCUUGUUGGUGGGGUAACGGCUCACCAAGGCGACGAUCCCUAUCUGGUCGGAGAGGAUGACCAGCCACACGGGAACUGAGACACGGUCCAGACUCCUACGUGAGGCAGCAGUGGGGAAUAUUGCACAAUGGGCGCAAGCCUGAUGCAGCCAUGCCGCGUGUAUGAAGAAGGCCUUCGGGUUGUAAAGUACUUUCAGCGGGGAGGCGUUACCCGCAGAAGAAGCACCGGCUAACUCCGUGCCAGCAGCCGCGGUAAUAC
RNAcentral lists this ribosomal RNA (406 nucleotides) under uncultured bacterium. RNAcentral describes it as "partial 16S ribosomal RNA". It matches the Rfam family "Bacterial small subunit ribosomal RNA", at positions 30 to 526 of the family's 1533-position model. The record is from RNAcentral.